This 253-nucleotide ribosomal RNA is filed under the name uncultured bacterium. RNAcentral's name for it is "partial 16S ribosomal RNA". It matches the Rfam family "Bacterial small subunit ribosomal RNA", at positions 524 to 776 of the family's 1533-position model. The record is from RNAcentral.
UACAGAGGGGGCAAGCGUUAUUCGGAAUUAUUGGGCGUAAAGGGCGCGUAGGCGGCUUGGCAAGUGGAUGGUGAAAUCCCUCGGCUUAACCGAGGAACUGCCGUCCAAACUGCUUUGCUUGAGACCGGGAGAGGUGAGUGGAAUUCCCAGUGUAGCGGUGAAAUGCGUAGAUAUUGGGAGGAACACCAGUGGCGAAGGCGGCUCACUGGACCGGUACUGACGCUGAGGCGCGAAAGCGUGGGGAGCGAUCCGG